This 916-nucleotide ribosomal RNA is filed under the name uncultured bacterium. RNAcentral's name for it is "bacterial SSU rRNA". It matches the Rfam family "Bacterial small subunit ribosomal RNA", at positions 246 to 1155 of the family's 1533-position model. The record is from RNAcentral.
UUGUUGGUAAGGUAAAAGCUUACCAAGGCUUCGAUCAGUAGCUGGUCUGAGAGGACGACCAGCCACACUGGGACUGAGACACGGCCCAGACUCCUACGGGAGGCGGCAGUGGGGAAUUUUGGACAAUGGGGGCAACCCUGAUCCAGCCAUGCCGCGUGAGUGAAGAAGGCYUUCGGGUUGUAAAGCUCUUUCAGCCGGAACGAAACGGUUACGGAUAACACCCGUGACUACUGACGGUACCGGGAGAAGAAGCACCGGCUAACUACGUGCCAGCAGCCGCGGUAAUACGUAGGGUGCGAGCGUUAAUCGGAAUUACUGGGCGUAAAGCGUGCGCAGGUGGUUUUGUAAGUCAGAUGUGAAAGCCCCGGGCUCAACCUGGGAACUGCGUUUGAAACUACAAGACUAGAGUGUGGCAGAGGGGGGUGGAAUUCCGCGUGUAGCAGUGAAAUGCGUAGAGAUGUGGAGGAACACCGAUGGCGAAGGCAGCCCCCUGGGUCAACACUGACGCUCAGGCACGAAAGCAUGGGGAGCAAACAGGAUUAGAUACCCUGGUAGUCCAUGCCCUAAACGAUGUCAACUAGUUGUCGGGCCUUUACGGGCUUGGUAACGUAGCUAACGCGUGAAGUUGACCGCCUGGGGAGUACGAUCGCAAGAUUAAAACUCAAAUGAAUUGACGGGGACCCGCACAAGCGGUGGAUUAUGUGGAUUAAUUCGAUGCAACGCGAAAAACCUUACCUACCCUUGACAUGUAUCGAAGCCCGCAGAAAAGCGGGGGUGCCCGAAAGGGAACGAUAACACAGGUGCUGCAUGGCUGUCGUCAGCUCGUGUCGUGAGAUGUUGAGUUAAGUCCCGCAACGAGCGCAACCCUUGUCAUUAAUUGCCAUCAUUUAGUUGGGCACUUUAAUGAGACUGCCGG